GACGAACGCUGGCGGCGUGCUUAACACAUGCAAGUCGAACGGAAAGGCCCUGCUUGCAGGGUGCUCGAGUGGCGAACGGGUGAGUAACACGUGGGUGAUCUGCCCCUUAUUUUGGGAUAAGCCUGGGAAACUGGGUCUAAUACUGGAUAGGACCAUGCUGUAGGUGGUGUGGUGGAAAGAUUAGUUUCGGUAAGGGAUGAGCUCGCGGCCUAUCAGCUUGUUGGUGGGGUAAUGGCCUACCAAGGCGUCGACGGGUAGCCGGCCUGAGAGGGUGGACGGCCACAUUGGGACUGAGAUACGGCCCAGACUCCUACGGGAGGCAGCAGUGGGGAAUAUUGCACAAUGGGCGCAAGCCUGAUGCAGCGACGCCGCGUGGGGGAUGACGGCCUGCGGGUUGUAAACUCCUUUCGGCCAUGACGAAGCCCUUGUGGCGACGGUAGUGGUAGAAGAAGCACCGGCUAACUACGUG
RNAcentral lists this ribosomal RNA (469 nucleotides) under uncultured bacterium. RNAcentral describes it as "partial 16S ribosomal RNA". It matches the Rfam family "Bacterial small subunit ribosomal RNA", at positions 28 to 507 of the family's 1533-position model. The record is from RNAcentral.